Molecule: ribosomal RNA, 219 nt
Filed under: Escherichia coli
Lineage: Bacteria; Pseudomonadati; Pseudomonadota; Gammaproteobacteria; Enterobacterales; Enterobacteriaceae
Also listed under: 1 other name
Description: partial 16S ribosomal RNA
Rfam family: Bacterial small subunit ribosomal RNA
Source: RNAcentral
UCAAAUGAAUUGACGGGGGCCCGCACAAGCGGUGGAGCAUGUGGUUUAAUUCGAUGCAACGCGAAGAACCUUACCUGGUCUUGACAUCCACAGAACUUUCCAGAGAUGGAUUGGUGCCUUCGGGAACUGUGAGACAGGUGCUGCAUGGCUGUCGUCAGCUCGUGUUGUGAAAUGUUGGGUUAAGUCCCGCAACGAGCGCAACCCUUAUCCUUUGUUGCC